Molecule: microRNA, 21 nt
Filed under: Bombyx mori (domestic silkworm)
Lineage: Eukaryota; Metazoa; Arthropoda; Insecta; Lepidoptera; Bombycidae
Also listed under: 1 other name
Description: bmo-miR-13a-3p
Gene: bmo-miR-13a-3p
Source: miRBase by way of RNAcentral
UAUCACAGCCACUUUGAUGUG